GGGGCUGCCUUGGUUUCGACGUGGAUUACGAAGGAGCACGGGGCAUGUCGAGGUCCGAGAUCCUCGUUAAACAGUUCGGAAAAGUAAUAAACGCCAAUAACAAGCGUUACGCUCUCGCUGCUUAAUGCCAGCGGGACGCUGCACCGGUUCGCCUGAGGGCCGGGUCAGCCUAAAAACUGACAGCAGCGCCAUAUACUCGGGCUGGAUCCUGUUGGAGCCGUGACGGCAGGAUUAAGAUCAAGCGGCUGGUCUUCAUAUGGCCUGCUGGUGGGCAUGGAUGAAGAUGAGAUUUAAAGUUCAUCAGAUACGCAUGUAGAACCGUCUUUGGACAAUUUGCGGACGCGGGUUCGACUCCCGCCAGCUCCACCA
Non-coding RNA from Sutterella sp. CAG:351, 369 nucleotides. The record is from Rfam. Lineage: Bacteria; Pseudomonadati; Pseudomonadota; Betaproteobacteria; Burkholderiales; Sutterellaceae.